Molecule: unclassified non-coding RNA, 324 nt
Filed under: soil metagenome
Description: partial contains 5.8S ribosomal RNA, internal transcribed spacer 2, and large subunit ribosomal RNA
Rfam family: 5.8S ribosomal RNA (bases 1-120)
Source: RNAcentral
GAUGAAGAACGUAGCGAAAUGCGAUAAGUAGUGUGAAUUGCAGAAUUCAGUGAAUCAUCGAAUCUUUGAACGCACAUUGCGCCCCUUGGUAUUCCAUGGGGCAUGCCUGUUCGAGCGUCAUUUGUACCUUCAAGCUUUGCUUGGUGUUGGGUGUUUGUCCCGAGGGACUCGCCUUAAAGUAAUUGGCAGCCAGUGUUUGGUUUUGAGGCGCAGCACAAGUCGCGAUUCAAGGCUACACGCCCGCUUCCACAAGCCUUUUUUCACUUUUGACCUCGGAUCAGGUAGGGAUACCCGCUGAACUUAAGCAUAUCAAUAAGCGGAGGA